CACGUAGGGGGCAAGCGUUGUCCGGAUUCAUUGGGCGUAAAGAGCUCGUAGGCGGCUCAGUAAGUCGGGUGUGAAACCCUCAGGCUCAACCUGGGGACGCCACUCGAUACUGCUGUGGCUAGAGUCCAGUAGAGGAGUGUGGAAUUCCCGGUGUAGCGGUGAAAUGCGCAGAUAUCGGGAGGAACACCAACGGCGAAGGCAGCACUCUGGGCUGGAACUGACGCUGAGAAGCGAAAGCGUGGGUAGCAAACAGG
This 254-nucleotide ribosomal RNA is filed under the name uncultured bacterium. RNAcentral's name for it is "partial 16S ribosomal RNA". It matches the Rfam family "Bacterial small subunit ribosomal RNA", at positions 524 to 776 of the family's 1533-position model. The record is from RNAcentral.